This 1496-nucleotide ribosomal RNA is filed under the name Weissella confusa. RNAcentral's name for it is "bacterial SSU rRNA". It matches the Rfam family "Bacterial small subunit ribosomal RNA". Lineage: Bacteria; Bacillati; Bacillota; Bacilli; Lactobacillales; Lactobacillaceae. The record is from RNAcentral.
GAACGCUGGCGGCGUGCCUAAUACAUACAAGUCGAACGCUUUGUGGUUCAACUGAUUUGAAGAGCUUGCUCAGAUAUGACGAUGGACAUUGCAAAGAGUGGCGAACGGGUGAGUAACACGUGGGAAACCUACCUCUUAGCAGGGGAUAACAUUUGGAAACAGAUGCUAAUACCGUAUAACAAUGACAACCGCAUGGUUGUUAUUUAAAAGAUGGUUCUGCUAUCACUAAGAGAUGGUCCCGCGGUGCAUUAGCUAGUUGGUAAGGUAAUGGCUUACCAAGGCGAUGAUGCAUAGCCGAGUUGAGAGACUGAUCGGCCACAAUGGGACUGAGACACGGCCCAUACUCCUACGGGAGGCAGCAGUAGGGAAUCUUCCACAAUGGGCGAAAGCCUGAUGGAGCAACGCCGCGUGUGUGAUGAAGGGUUUCGGCUCGUAAAACACUGUUGUAAGAGAAGAAUGACAUUGAGAGUAACUGUUCAAUGUGUGACGGUAUCUUACCAGAAAGGAACGGCUAAAUACGUGCCAGCAGCCGCGGUAAUACGUAUGUUCCAAGCGUUAUCCGGAUUUAUUGGGCGUAAAGCGAGCGCAGACGGUUAUUUAAGUCUGAAGUGAAAGCCCUCAGCUCAACUGAGGAAUUGCUUUGGAAACUGGAUGACUUGAGUGCAGUAGAGGAAAGUGGAACUCCAUGUGUAGCGGUGAAAUGCGUAGAUAUAUGGAAGAACACCAGUGGCGAAGGCGGCUUUCUGGACUGUAACUGACGUUGAGGCUCGAAAGUGUGGGUAGCAAACAGGAUUAGAUACCCUGGUAGUCCACACCGUAAACGAUGAGUGCUAGGUGUUUGAGGGUUUCCGCCCUUAAGUGCCGCAGCUAACGCAUUAAGCACUCCGCCUGGGGAGUACGACCGCAAGGUUGAAACUCAAAGGAAUUGACGGGGACCCGCACAAGCGGUGGAGCAUGUGGUUUAAUUCGAAGCAACGCGAAGAACCUUACCAGGUCUUGACAUCCCUUGACAACUCCAGAGAUGGAGCGUUCCCUUCGGGGACAAGGUGACAGGUGGUGCAUGGUUGUCGUCAGCUCGUGUCGUGAGAUGUUGGGUUAAGUCCCGCAACGAGCGCAACCCUUAUUACUAGUUGCCAGCAUUCAGUUGGGCACUCUAGUGAGACUGCCGGUGACAAACCGGAGGAAGGUGGGGAUGACGUCAAAUCAUCAUGCCCCUUAUGACCUGGGCUACACACGUGCUACAAUGGCGUAUACAACGAGUUGCCAACCCGCGAGGGUGAGCUAAUCUCUUAAAGUACGUCUCAGUUCGGAUUGUAGGCUGCAACUCGCCUACAUGAAGUCGGAAUCGCUAGUAAUCGCGGAUCAGCACGCCGCGGUGAAUACGUUCCCGGGUCUUGUACACACCGCCCGUCACACCAUGAGAGUUUGUAACACCCAAAGCCGGUGGGGUAACCUUCGGGAGCCAGCCGUCUAAGGUGGGACAGAUGAUUAGGGUG